This is a non-coding RNA of Scomber scombrus (Atlantic mackerel), 556 nucleotides long. The record is from the annotation of a RefSeq genome assembly. NCBI's taxonomy places the organism in Eukaryota, Metazoa, Chordata, Actinopteri, Scombriformes, Scombridae.
AUGUACAUUUACUUUGAUGACUGCAGACAGAUUUUCAGUCAGUUCGGUGGAGGAACCAGACUGGAAGUUAACUUGGGUCGAGUCGCCCCCACCCUGACGGUGCUGCCCCCCUCCAGCCAGGAACUGCAGCAGGGGAAGGCCACGCUCACGUGUCUGGCCAACAAGGGCUUCCCCUCAGACUGGAGUCUGGCCUGGAAGGUGGACGGCAGCAGCAGCAGCAGCAGCAGCUGGGAGCAGAGCAGGAGCCCCGGGGUGCUGCAGCAGGACGGCCACUACAGCUGGAGCAGCACCCUGAGGCUCACUGCAGACCAGUGGGGGAAGGUGGGCUCUGUGACCUGUGAGGCCACCCAGGGCUCCCAGUCUCCACUCUCAGAGACACUGAGGAGAGACCAGUGUUCCCAGUCCUGACCUGACUCACUGGGACUCUGCUACUGCUCUCACUCUGAUCUCUUCAACUCAGUUUUUUUCUCCCUCUGUCUCUUUAAAUGUUGCAGUAAUGAUGUUUCUUGCUUUUUGAUUUUAAUAUUUCAAGAAAAAUAAAGACGUGUUCAUCAAA